CCACAACCUAUUUUGCAGUUGUCGAUUUUAGUCUUAGUUUUAAAACAUGGUGUUUUCACAGAAGUAUGGUAUCGUUCGAUUAACACUGGAGAACAACCGCAAGGAUUUAUAGUCUUAUACGCAAUAGAGAACGGCACAUUCGGGGAACAGGCAAGAAAAAUUUAUCCCCGCGAUGAAGCUAAGUGGAAUUUAGCCAAAGCAAUUGUUGCUGAGUUUUCAUUUUUAAAAAGCAAUUUUGGAGAAUCUGGAUGCGAGACUUUGACAGACAGGCUAGGAAAGGAUUUCUAGAAACACGCUUAUGGAAUGCUCGAAAGAAGAUACUUUCAUCUCAAAAAAUACCGCAAAACUAAAAAGGGGAAGCUGUGUCCUAAAUCAACCGAGCAGUACUCGGAUAUGAAAAUUCUGAGUAAAGAAGAUUUAAACCGCAAAGCAUAUUUAAUGGAAUACAAGAUGCCAAAUUAUGCAGAAAAAGAGAGAGUGGAUUUUAAGGAAGUCACCGACUAUCACAGAAAUUCACGACAAGUAACCUAGACUUUUUGAUUAUAACUGUGAAAUGGUGAG
Belonocnema kinseyi is the source of this 561-nucleotide long non-coding RNA. RefSeq lists it as uncharacterized. The record is from RefSeq and is a predicted model, not a curated record. The transcript is spliced from 4 exons. NCBI's taxonomy places the organism in Eukaryota, Metazoa, Arthropoda, Insecta, Hymenoptera, Cynipidae.